Molecule: ribosomal RNA, 481 nt
Filed under: uncultured bacterium
Lineage: Bacteria
Description: partial 16S ribosomal RNA
Rfam family: Bacterial small subunit ribosomal RNA
Source: RNAcentral
AUUGAACGCUGGCGGCAUGCUUUACACAUGCAAGUCGAACGGUAACAGCACUUCGGUGGCUGACGAGUGGCGAACGGGUGAGUAAUACAUCGGAACGUGCCUAGUAGUGGGGAUAACUACUCGAAAGAGUAGCUAAUACCGCAUUAGAUCUAAGGAUGAAAGCAGGGGACCUUCGGGCCUUGCGCUACUAGAGCGGCUGAUGGCAGAUUAGGUAGUUGGUGGGAUAAAAGCUUACCAAGCCGACGAUCUGUAGCUGGUCUGAGAGGACGACCAGCCACACUGGGACUGAGACACGGCCCAGACUCCUACGGGAGGCAGCAGUGGGGAAUUUUGGACAAUGGGCGCAAGCCUGAUCCAGCAAUGCCGCGUGCAGGAUGAAGGCCUUCGGGUUGUAAACUGCUUUUGUACGGAACGAAAAGCCCUCUUCUAAUACAGGAGGGUCAUGACGGUACCGUAAGAAUAAGCACCGGCUAACUACGUG